RNAcentral lists this ribosomal RNA (182 nucleotides) under uncultured bacterium. RNAcentral describes it as "partial 16S ribosomal RNA". It matches the Rfam family "Bacterial small subunit ribosomal RNA", at positions 1317 to 1500 of the family's 1533-position model. The record is from RNAcentral.
UCCAUGAAGCCGGAAUUGCUAGUAAUGGCAGGUCAGCAUACUGCCGUGAAUACGUUCCCGGGCCUUGUACACACCGCCCGCCACACCAUGAGAGUUGGGAAUACCCGAAGCCUGUGAGCUAACGUAAGAGGCAGCAGUCGAAGGUAGAAUCAAUGAUUGGGGUGAAGUCGUAACAAGGUACC